RNAcentral lists this ribosomal RNA (253 nucleotides) under uncultured prokaryote. RNAcentral's name for it is "partial 16S ribosomal RNA". It matches the Rfam family "Bacterial small subunit ribosomal RNA", at positions 525 to 777 of the family's 1533-position model. The record is from RNAcentral.
ACGAGUGCCCCAAGCGUUGUCCGGAUUUAUUGGGUUUAAAGGGUGCGUAGGCGGCUUUGUAAGUCAGUGGUGAAAUAUGGCAGCUCAACUGUCAGGGUGCCAUUGAUACUGCAGAGCUUGAGUACAGAUGAGGUAGGCGGAAUUGACGGUGUAGCGGUGAAAUGCUUAGAUAUCGUCAAGAACACCGAUAGCGAAGGCAGCUUACUGGGCUGUAACUGACGCUGAGGCACGAAAGUGUGGGGAUCAAACAGGA